GAUGAAGAACGCAGCGAAAUGCGAUAAGUAAUGUGAAUUGCAGAAUUCAGUGAAUCAUCGAAUCUUUGAACGCACAUUGCGCCCGCCAGUAUUCUGGCGGGCAUGCCUGUCCGAGCGUCAUUUCAACCCCCGAACCCCUCCGGGGGGUCGGCGUUGGGGAUCGGCCCUGCCUCUUGGCGGUGGCCGUCUCCGAAAUACAGUGGCGGUCUCGCCGCAGCCUCUCCUGCGCAGUAGUUUGCACACUCGCAUCGGGAGCGCGGCGCGUCCACAGCCGUUAAACACCCAACUUCUGAAAUGUUGACCUCGGAUCAGGUAGGAAUACCCGCUGAACUUAAGCAUAUCAAUAAGCGGAGGA
This 355-nucleotide unclassified non-coding RNA is filed under the name soil metagenome. RNAcentral describes it as "partial contains 5.8S ribosomal RNA, internal transcribed spacer 2, and large subunit ribosomal RNA". The stretch from base 1 to 120 matches the Rfam family "5.8S ribosomal RNA", at positions 35 to 154 of the family's 154-position model. The record is from RNAcentral.